Suricata suricatta (meerkat) is the source of this 427-nucleotide long non-coding RNA. RefSeq lists it as uncharacterized. The record is from RefSeq and is a predicted model, not a curated record. The transcript has 2 exons. NCBI's taxonomy places the organism in Eukaryota, Metazoa, Chordata, Mammalia, Carnivora, Herpestidae.
UGCCUUGCUGUAGGGAAUGGAAAAUGACCCAACCGCUCUGGAAAACAGCUUGGCAGCUUCUUAAAAAACUAACCACGGCCUGGCCCCCUCUGGGAUGACAGAUGUUUCUUCAGUUUCUUAUGGGCCACACCAAAGACUGAAGUGACAAUGCGCCAAGACAGAAGAAAACCCGCAGUUUUGUGUUGGUCUGCUUUGAACAUCCAGAACCCCAACCUUACGUCAUAGCUCUGCUACACGGAAUUCGUUUACACGGGUGAUCAGUUAAUGUACAGUCCCUGUUUGGGAGCUCCAGCGCUUCUAAAUCAACCAUAGUCUUGAAAGCUGUGUGAAGACAAAUUCCCUAACUACAGGAAUGAAGAAGUUGUCAGCAGGUCUUACUGUUCCAGGCAGUUCUUUUCCAAUUAAUAAUAAUGCUGCUUUACCUCAA